This 2676-nucleotide ribosomal RNA is filed under the name Plasmodium ovale curtisi. RNAcentral describes it as "Eukaryotic small subunit ribosomal RNA". It matches the Rfam family "Eukaryotic small subunit ribosomal RNA". The record is from Rfam by way of RNAcentral. Lineage: Eukaryota; Apicomplexa; Aconoidasida; Haemosporida; Plasmodiidae.
CACCUGGUUGAUCUUGCCAGUAGUCAUAUGCUUGUCUAAAAGAUUAAGCCAUGCAAGUCUAAGUAUAUGCAUAUUUGAUAUGCAGAAACUGCGAACGGCUCAUUAAAACAGUUAUAAUCUACUUGACAUUCUACGCCCACAAAGAUCGCGCGUAAUAAGGAUAACUACGGAAAAUCUGUAGAUAAUACGAUGACGAAAGCGCUCGGAGUCAUAUAUACGCCAGUUGCAAGUAUUUGUUACCCCCGAUAAGAGAGAUUUGCCCGAACCAAGGAAUUAUUACAAAGAAGGAACACAUCAUGAAUUUUAAUUUGUGUAGUGUGUAUCAAUCGAGUAACUGACCUAUCAGCUGUCGAUGUUAGGGUAUUGGCUUAACAUGGCUAUGACGGGUAACGGGGAAUUAGAGUUCGAUUCCGGAGAGGGAGCCUGAGAAAUAGCUACCACAUCUAAGGACGGCAGCAGGCGCGUAAAUUACCCAAUUCUAAAGAAGAGAGGUAGUGACAAGAUAUUACAAUACAAGGCCAUUUCAUGGUUUUGUAAUUGGAUUGAGAGGAAUAUAAAAACUUCCUAAGAUAACCAUUGGAGGGCAAGUCUGGUGCCAGCAGCCGCGGUAAUUCCAGCUCCAAUAGCGUAUAUUAAAAUUGUUGCAGUUAAAACGCUCGUAGUUGAAUUUCAAAGAGUCAUGGCGUUUCUGAGGUGCUCCUUGGUCGAUCUGCCCAGCACUGACUCUAUGAUUUUAUUGUAGAGCAGUGUGACUGGGUGUUCGAUUUCAAGAAAGUGUCUCCUUUACAAAGUGAUUUUUCUAAGGGUCUCUUGAGUACCAGUCCUUGGGAGGUUCUUUUUACCUUGAGUAAAUUAGAGUGUUUAAAGCAAACAGAUAGAACAGUUUACUGUGUUUAAAUACUACAGCAUGGAAUAAUAAUAUCGAAUGAGCCGACGUACUUUUCGUUUCUUUGUUAUUUUGGCUUAGUUACGAUUAACAGGAAUAGUUGGGGGCAUUUGUAUUCAGAUGUCAGAGGUGAAAUUCUAAGAUUAUCUGGAGACGAACAAUUGCGAAAGCAUCUGUCUAACAUAUUUUCAUUAAUCAAGAACGAAAGUUAAGGGAGUGAAGACGAUCAGAUACCGUCGUAAUCUUAACCAUAAACUAUGCCAACUAUGUUUUGGAUGUAUGAGAAAAAGAUGGAAUACUUUGUUUUACGACAUUGUCAUUCCAUUUAUGCUUCAUUCAGUACCUUAGAGAAAUCAAAGUCUUUGGGUUCUGGGGCGAGUAUUCGCGCAAGCGAGAAAGUUAAAAGAAUUGACGGAAGGGCACCACCAGACGUGGAGCUUGCGGCUUAAUUUGACUCAACACGGGAAAACUCACUAGUAUAAGACAAGAGUAGGAUUGACAGAUUAAUAGCUCUUUCUUGAUUUCUUGGAUGGUGAUGCAUGGCCGUUUUUAGUUCGUGAAUAUGAUUUGUCUGGUUAAUUCCGAUAACGAACGAGACCUUAACCUGCUAGUUAGCGGCCGGUAUGUCGCGAAUUUAUCAAAAUCUUAUCUCGUAGGCUGGAUUAUUUUUAGAAGAUAUGACGGAUAACCGAGUCGAGUGUCGUCCCCAUCACUGUUCUAUUAAUUCGCAGUCUGUCCUGGUUUUUUUUUAGGUAAGUAUGUAUCCGCUUGAAUGUAAGCUUCUUAGAGGUACGAUGUGUGCUUAACACAAGGAAGUUUAAGGCAACAACAGGUCUGUAAUGUCCCUAGAUAUACUAGGCUGCACGCGUGCUACAAUGAUAUGUAUAACGAGUUAUUUAAAAUAUGGCUCUGUAAAUUUUAAUUUAUGUGUUACUGAGGAUAUGUGUGCUUGUGUAUGUCAAUCGACGAGUUACUAAAGGUAUGUGCGGGUAUAUAAAAUCACGAGUUAAUAAUAGUGUUUGCUUGUGCAUAUGCAAUGACAAGUCACUGUAGAUAUGUGAAUGUAAAUGUAAAUUGUAAAUUUAUCAAUGAUAUGUUCUUGUUCAUGUAAAAAUGACAAGUUACGAAGUAAGUAGGUGUUUAAUUGUUAAUAUAAGUUCUAAAGUUAAUAAUACUAAGUGUGCUUGUGCACGUAAAAAUGACAAGUAACAGAGUAAGUAGGUGUUUGAUUGUUAAUAUAAGUUUGAAAGUUAAUAAUACUGAGUGUGCUUGUGCACGUAAAAAUGACAAGUAACAGAGUAUGUAGAUGUGUGAUUGUUAAUAUAAGUUUGAAAGUUAAUAAUACUAAGUGUGCUUGUGCAUGUAAAAAUGGCAGGUUACUUAAUGGUAUGUGCUUGUGUCUAUCAAUUAAUGAGUUAUGAAUGGUAAAUGCUUGUGUAUAUAUAUUUAUAAAUAUAAAUUAAAUUUUUACAGAGUUCAUACUUUUUCCUCCACUGAAAAGUGUAGGUAAUCUAGUCAGAACAUAUCGUAAUUGGGAUAAAUUUCUGUAAUUAUGAAUUUUGAACGAGGAAUGCCUAGUAAGCAUGAUUCAUCAGAUUGUGCUGACUACGUCCCUGCCCUUUGUACACACCGCCCGUCGCUCCUACCGAUUGAAAGAUAUGACAAAUUGUUUGGACACGAAAUUGGGGAAUUAUAUUUCUCAGUUGGUGGAAAAACCGUAAAUCCUAUUUUUUAAAGGAAGGAGAAGUCGUAACAAGGUUUCCGUAGGUGAACCUGCGGAAGGAUCAUUA